GAAGAUCCAAAAAAAUGGCUUUCUCUACUUCCUUGGGCAGAGUUUUGGUUCAAUACCAAUUACAACUCCUCUAUCGGGCAAACACCAUUCCAAAUAUUAUAUGGAAAGGAAGCUCCUAUUUUACCAAACUAUAUUGAAGGUAGUUCUUUUAUUGAUGCUGUGGACAGAGAAUUGAAUGAUGAAGACAAUGAAAAACAAUUUAAUCAAAGCCCAAAAACGGAUGAAGACAAAUGCUGAAAAACAUAGACAAGAAAUAUAGUUUAAUGUGGAUGAUUGGGUAUUGGUCAAGCUAAAGCGCUAAAGACAAUCAACAGUAGCAGUUCGACUUCAUAACAAAUUAAAUAAGAAAUACUUUGGUCCCUACAAAAUCAAAGAAAAAAUCAGCAGGGUUGCUUACAGAUUAUCUCUGCCUCCGGGAAGUCGAAUCCAUAACACAUUUCAUAUAUCCUUGCUGAAGAAAUUUAUUGGCAGCCCACCUGAAAAUAAAGAUAUGACACCUUUAAUAGCGGUAAAAAAUAACCCUGUUUUGAUUCCUCUAGCUAUUAUAGAUUAUAGGAUUGUCUACCGGAAGGGAGGGCGAUUUCAUCAAGCUCUGGUCCAGUGGGACGGAGAACCAGUUGAAGAUUCCUCAUGGGAAGAUGUUGCAGCUCUGCGCAAGUCUUUUCCCUCAAUACACCUUGAGGACAAGGUGGUUCUCCGAGAGGGAUACCAUGAUACGAAGCGGAUAGACAUGGCUGGGAUAAUAGAAGAUCUGAAGAAGAACCACGAGCUCAGUGAAGAGGUCGUCGGAGAAGAAGAAAUUGAAGAAAAAGAAAUCGAACAGAGAAAAGGAAAAUUAGAUCAGAGCCGCCAGGUGAGGGAGAGCCGUUCCAAGAGGACUCCAGG
RNAcentral lists this long non-coding RNA (885 nucleotides) under Zostera marina. RNAcentral's name for it is "long non-coding RNA (ZMAR_LNC000465)". The record is from RNAcentral. Lineage: Eukaryota; Viridiplantae; Streptophyta; Magnoliopsida; Alismatales; Zosteraceae.